UACAUGGGGUGCAAACGUUGCUCGGAAUUAUUGGGCGUAAAGCGCGCGUAGGCGGUUAUCUAAGUCGGAUGUGAAAGCCCUCGGCUUAACUGAGGAAGUGCACCCGAAACUGGAUAGCUAGAGUACGAAAGAGGGUCGCGGAAUUCCCGGUGUAGAGGUGAAAUUCGUAGAUAUUGGGAAGAACACCAGUGGCGAAGGCGGCUACCUGGUCCGGAUCUGACGCUGAGGCGCGAAAGCGUGGGGAGCAAACAGG
Molecule: ribosomal RNA, 253 nt
Filed under: uncultured bacterium
Lineage: Bacteria
Description: partial 16S ribosomal RNA
Rfam family: Bacterial small subunit ribosomal RNA
Source: RNAcentral